AGGAGGCUCUUCAUGGUGGGGAUGACCUUUUGAUAGAUUAUAAAUCGCUAAAACAGUGCAAGUAGCAACACCUAAAUAUGUUAUCUUUUCCCAUUUUGCCGUUUCAUCUGCAAAUAUAUAUAUAUAUAUAUAUAUAUAUAAUUCGUGUUAAAACAAUAUAUAUAUAUGAUUUUUCCAAGCCGUUUUAAGAUUUUCUUUUCCCUAAGAUCCAAAACUACGAUUCUUUUAAUAAUCUAAAUUUUAUUUUACUUACUCUAUUUCUAACAUAGACUCAAUUAAAAUCAAAAGGUUAAACUAGAUAAUAAAACCCUAAAGUAAAAAAAAUAGAACAACUCAAAAUAUAGGAAAUCAAUAUAUUAAUAAUAUAAAAUUGAUCCAAAUCAGAUAAAAUAUUAAAAAAAUAGAAGAAAGGUUGCAUACAAGCAUCAUCGUGAUGAGAAGAGGAAGCGAAGCCACGCUUGGGAGGAGCAGUAGGACGAGAGCCGCCGCGAAGGGCUGCUCGGAGGAGACCAGAUCGCACACUCGCCAUCGCCAUUUUUAUCGAUUUCUUUUUUCUCUACGACUUGAAAC
This 570-nucleotide long non-coding RNA is filed under the name Gossypium raimondii (Peruvian cotton). RNAcentral describes it as "long non-coding RNA (GRAI_LNC001789)". Lineage: Eukaryota; Viridiplantae; Streptophyta; Magnoliopsida; Malvales; Malvaceae. The record is from RNAcentral.